GUGACCUUUCCGAGCUGUGGCCAAGUACCCACCGUUCGGGGGCCGCUCAGGAGCUUGGCUGGCCGCGGGGCGCCCCCGCCGGCCGCGGCCGCCACGGCAGCCACCUUCGCUUGCGUCACCAGGUGACAACCCCGGUCCGGCAAACAGGCUGUUCCAGUGUCCUCUUCGCUCCGCAUGGUCACUAACGAUUGCAGCAUAUGUGCCGGUGCUGCUAUUGUGAAAUCGCUGUGGAACGAGGAUGAGGAGGAGGAGGAAGAGGAGGAAAGAUCGCUACCAGCUGCCUUGUGGGGAGAGCUACCGCUGCCCUUCUUCCCUCAUAGCUCAUCCCCUGUCUUUGGCACACUGAGAUUUGGGAAUGAUUUGUCCUGUUGUAAAGAGAAGACGCCAAAAGCGAGAGCUGUGGAUUUGGAGAAGUGGACGCUGAUAACCCCUGUCCCACACCUGAGAUGUCCCUGCUACCCCCCGAGGCCACCACCAGUUCAGUUUCUGAGUAAGAAAGAGAGAGAGGACAAUGAGAAAAGAAGAACAGAUCUUCAGUUCCAGAUCAAUACAUCGAACAUCCGUGUGAGGCGGAAUCUGAAGUUGCUGAUGGAUCACUAUCUGCCUGGCUUCAAGGAAACAGCUGCGUGCCUGACCCUGCCAGACAGGGUGAAGCGCGCGCCAGGGACGACCCCAAGAAGAACCGUCUCCUCCGACGUUUUCAAAAGGCUGUCUACACCCAGAGCAAGGGCGCUGUCCCCGUCUCCCCGGCGUGCUGCAGCCUGUGACUCCGCUGGCCACGGGGCGGCCGCAGGGACCGUGGCCCACGGCUCCAGGACGGUCGGAGGGGGCAAAGCCACAAAAGCAAGAAAGGUGCCGAAGCAGCGGGUCGCGAAGCAGCUCCGCUUUCCCCCCAGCCCGGCGCCCGUCCCAGCCUCGCCGCCGACUCGCUGUGGUGCAGAGGGCUGAAAAAUCGGGGUGGCUUCAAUUCCGCAGGAAUAAAAGGGGACUAAUAAACACAGCCUGGCUCGUUCUUGCUGUGGAUGG
RNAcentral lists this long non-coding RNA (1026 nucleotides) under Struthio camelus australis. RNAcentral's name for it is "lncRNA (ENSSCUG00000013298.1)". The record is from RNAcentral. Lineage: Eukaryota; Metazoa; Chordata; Aves; Struthioniformes; Struthionidae.